Molecule: ribosomal RNA, 396 nt
Filed under: uncultured beta proteobacterium
Lineage: Bacteria; Pseudomonadati; Pseudomonadota; Betaproteobacteria
Description: bacterial SSU rRNA
Rfam family: Bacterial small subunit ribosomal RNA
Source: RNAcentral
UGCAUCGGAACGUACCCCGUCGUGGGGGAUAACUACGCGAAAGCGUAGCUAAUACCGCAUACGACCUGAGGGUGAAAGCAGGGGAUCUUCGGACCUUGUGCGAUGGGAGCGGCCGAUGUCAGAUUAGCUAGUUGGUGGGGUAAGAGCCUACCAAGGCGACGAUCUGUAGCGGGUCUGAGAGGAUGAUCCGCCACACUGGGACUGAGACACGGCCCAGACUCCUACGGGAGGCAGCAGUGGGAAUUUUGGACAAUGGGGGCAACCCUGAUCCAGCCAUGCCGCGUGCGGGAAGAAGGCCUUCGGGUUGUAAACCGCUUUCAGCCGGAAAGAAAUCGCGCAGGCCAAUACCCUGUGUGGAUGACGGUACCGGAAGAAGAAGCACCGGCUAACUACGUG